CCUGCCCGGUGACCUGAGGUUUAACGGCCGCGGUAUCCUAACCGUGCAAAGGUAGCGCAAUCAAUUGUCCCAUAAAUCGAGACUAGUAUGAAUGGCUAAACGAGGUCUUAACUGUCUCUUGCAGGCAAUCGGUGAAAUUGAUCUCCCUGUGCGAAAGCAGGGAUAAACCCAUAAGACGAGAAGACCCUGUGGAACUUUAAAACCAGCAGCCACCCCAAAUAACAUAAAACCCCAUCGGGCUCACUAACACAUAAGCCACUGGCCUGCGUUUUUCGGUUGGGGCGACCUUGGAGAAAAACAAAUCCUCCAAAAAUUAGACCUUACCUCUAGACUGAGAGCAACCCCUCAACGUGCUAAUAGCAACCAGACCCAAUAUUAUUGAUCAAUGGACCAAGCUACCCCAGGGAUAACAGCGCAAUCUCCUUCGAGAGUCCAUAUCGACAAGGAGGUUUACGACCUCGAUGUUGGAUCAGGACAUCCUAGUGGUGCAGCCGCUACUAAGGGUUC
Molecule: ribosomal RNA, 507 nt
Filed under: Muscicapa striata (spotted flycatcher)
Lineage: Eukaryota; Metazoa; Chordata; Aves; Passeriformes; Muscicapidae
Description: partial 16S ribosomal RNA
Rfam family: Bacterial large subunit ribosomal RNA
Source: RNAcentral